GAUGUUUCGUAAAAUGUUUUGACAUCUUUACUUCGAAAAUAAGGCAAAACAAAAUAGUCUUUUGCUUUUAGAAAACACGUUUCUUGACCCAUACAUCUCGUGAAAUAUAUCUUCAGAGGAUCUUCAGAUAUCUCACAAAUAGAAACAAAUCUUUCAAGAAACUGAAACAUGGCACAUUCCAAUGUUUAACCAACAUGCCAAGACAUCUUGUCCAACAUCUUGCUUGAAUACUUGUUUUUCCAAAAUGCAUCCAAUCACUACACACCAAAAC
RNAcentral lists this long non-coding RNA (271 nucleotides) under Lathyrus oleraceus (garden pea). RNAcentral's name for it is "Pisum sativum (pea) long non-coding RNA (PSAT_LNC018355)". Lineage: Eukaryota; Viridiplantae; Streptophyta; Magnoliopsida; Fabales; Fabaceae. The record is from RNAcentral.